RNAcentral lists this transfer RNA (87 nucleotides) under Nitrososphaerota archaeon. RNAcentral's name for it is "Thaumarchaeota archaeon tRNA-Ser". It matches the Rfam family "tRNA". From Rfam's summary of the family: Transfer RNA (tRNA) molecules are approximately 80 nucleotides in length. RNAcentral also lists the same sequence under 2 other names. Lineage: Archaea; Thermoproteati; Nitrososphaerota. The record is from RNAcentral.
GCCGGGUUAGCCAAGUGGUUACGGCGAUCGCCUCGAGAGCGAUUGCGCUUUCAGCGUGCAAGGGUUCGAAUCCCUUACCCGGCGCCA